GUGGGGAAUAUUGGGCAAUGGGCGCAAGCCUGACCCAGCAACGCCGCGUGAAGGAAGAAGGCUUUCGGGUUGUAAACUUCUUUAGACAGGGACGAAACAAAUGACGGUACCUGUAGAAUAAGCCACGGCUAACUACGUGCCAGCAGCCGCGGUAAUACGUAGGUGGCGAGCGUUAUCCGGAUUUACUGGGUGUAAAGGGCGUGUAGGCGGUAAGUCAAGUCAGAUGUGAAAUCUCCCGGCUCAACUGGGAGGGUGCAUCUGAAACUGAUUCACUUGAGUACUGGAGGGGAAAGCGGAAUUCCUAGUGUAGCGGUAAAAUGCGUAGAUAUUAGGAGGAACACCGGUGGCGAAGGCGGCUUUCUGGACAGAUACUGACGCUGAGGCGCGAAAGCGUGGGGAGCAAACAGGA
RNAcentral lists this ribosomal RNA (409 nucleotides) under uncultured bacterium. RNAcentral's name for it is "bacterial SSU rRNA". It matches the Rfam family "Bacterial small subunit ribosomal RNA", at positions 354 to 777 of the family's 1533-position model. The record is from RNAcentral.